GCAUAUAUCUGUUCAUAUAAAGGCUCUUAUUUCUCUAAGAUAUAUUCCAAGGAGUGGGAUUGCCAUAUGCUAUGGUAGUUCUAUUUCUAGCUUUUUAAGGAAGUGCCAGAUUGAUUUCCAAAGUGGCUGCACCAUUUUAAACUCCCACCAGCAGUGAAUAAGUGUUCCAGUCUCUCUACAACCUCUCGAACAUUUAUUAUUUUGUGAUUUGGGAUUAAUGGCAGCCUUGUUGGAGUGAGAUGGUAUCUCAUUGUAGUUUUGAUUUACAUUUCUCUAACGGCUAAUGAUUAUGAGCAUUUCCUCAUGUAUCUGUUACCUGCCUGAAUGUCUUCUUCGUUGAAGUGCCUAUUCCUAUCCUUUGCCCAUUUUUAAAAUGGAUUAUUUGUCUUUUUGUUAUUGAGUUUUUGCAAUAUCAUGUAGAUUUUAGAGAUCAGAUGCUGAUCGGAAAUGUUAUAGCUCAAAACUGUUUCCCAGGCUGUAGGCAAUCAGUUUACUCUCCUGGUGAAGACUUUGGAUGAGCAUAAGUGUUUGAUUUUUAGGAGUUACCUAAUUUCUCUUUGGGUACUUGUACAUUGUUAGUAAUGUUUUUUGUUACAAUCCCACCCUAAUCCUCUUUAACAUAAAAUUACAAUCACAAAAUGGAGGACAACUACAGAACACUGGGAAUCAUGGCCUAACCAACUUGGUACACACAUUUUUCGGGGGGGACAUAAUACAAUCCAUGACAUCCACCUUUUAGUAUAUUUUGGGGACUGGCUCUUUUAGUCAGAAACAGGUUGAAUAAAAGUGCUUACUUACCAGCAGUUUCCCGACAGUGUUGGUGACGGAUCCCCAGUUGGAUACACACAAUCACACUGACUGCAUUUGCGGUGCCUCAGCAAGUCCCACUUGCCUUCGUAACACUGAUCUCUAGAACAAAACACAGCUCUGUAAGCAAGUCAGUUAAAAAUAAAGGCAUUGGAUAUUGAACAUCACUAAAGACAUAAGUGCAUAUUGGUUCUGUGUUGGUUGCCAGAAUCUAAUUCUCUUAAUUAAUUCAUAUUUUUUGUAGAUAUUUUUCUUGCUCCAUAUACCCAGAGUUCUGUGUACAUAUAAUGAACAUUCUACACGUAGGUUUCUCACAAAUAUUACCCAAUGUCAUUCAUUUUUUUGACCAUUCACUCAAUGUUCAAGAAUAAAUUGAAGUAUAGGAAAUAUUCUUAUGGUUAUUUAACUCUAAGGAUGAAGAAAUUGCAUAGCGGGUCUUGGCUCCCUUUAGAAAUUCUCUACCUGAUGCAGUUCCACACAGCAACACGGACCUUCAUCUCAGCACAGGAAGAAAGACAGCUUUGUCUCAAUAUCUGCCACUGCUCUUCACCUUCUACUAAGGAAACUCAGGAAUCAAAUAUUUUAUACUGUCCAGCAAUGCUUACACUGUAAGUAUAAAGUGGGAGCCAUUAUAACGUUAAGGGAAAUAUCAUUGAUACAAUGUUGGCUUUUUAAUUAGGCAGAUUUGUCUUUGUAAUCCCACUCUGCCCUUAAUUGGCUGAUGACUUUAAGUAUGCUUCUUUACUUUCCGUAGCCUUGAUUUACUCACCCACAGAAUGGGACGAUGACCUUCAUCUGGAAAGAAUAUACAUAUAUACAUAUAUACAGACGUAUGAAGCUUACUUCUGACAAUACUAACAAAUAUUGCUAUUUUUUUUUUUUUUGCCUUCUUUACUCCAAGCUUCUAGACGGUUUACUCAGUUACAUUUCCUUCCUUCCUUUCUUCUUUCUUUCUAUGCUGCCUCUUUUUUUUUCCCUUUCAGUUUUAUUGUGAAUUCAUAAACGCUAGGUUGAAUUUCAGUGUUUAUAUGCUAUUGGGGGUAUGCAUAUAAGUAAGCAAAUUUAGCUUCCUGAAAUUGAAAUGUAGGUAAUUCCUGCACUGUCUGCCUCACAUGACAUGCGAAAGUUAUUUAAAAUAGUAAGAAAAUAUAAAUAUGUUACUUAUUAUCUAUUGAAUCCAUACAUCAGGCUAGAUAAUUUAACUGUCAUGUUGAAGUGAUAAAUUUAUAAAUAUAGAUAUUAAUAUUUUGUUAUUAAUGUAAGAAGAGUAAGUUAGACACCUAAUAUGAAGAGCAGGUAAGGAUUUCAAAAGGAUUGGUUCUCAGAAGAGUAGGACUAGAACAGUAAUAAACAAAAGGUAAAAUAUGUUCGUAGCAGGAACAUACAGAAGGUUGCUUCUACAAUGGUGUUUAAAAUAGAAUAAUGUAUAUUUGAUUAGACAAUCAUUUAUGGGAAUAAAAAGAUUAAGAAAAUUUAUCCUUACCUGCAAAAUCUUAGAACCGAAAAACCAAACCAAACCCAGUGCCGUCGAGUCGACUCCACUCCUACUCAUGGCGACCCUAUAGGACAGAGUAGAACUGCCCCAUAGAGUUUCCAAGGAGCGCCUGGAGGAUUCAAACUGCUGACCCUUUGGUUAGCAGCUGUAGCACUUAACCACUAUGCCACCAGGGUUUCCACAAAAUCUUAGAAGCAGCAACAUAUUCAUCAUAUUUCAUCCAGAACAUUCCUGAUGUCCUGCAGUCAUGCAUUUAAAGUCAUUUUUGCAGAAACAUUCAUUUUUAUAGCUACUUACCUUCCUGGUGAUUACAUCAUUGGCUCAUAAAGACGAGAAAAAGAACCAAAUGCAAUUUGGCUGUCUUGACUGGGUCCCAAAGAAGACUAUUAAGUUAAACAAAUGAAUAGAAACAUCUUAAAUAAGCAAUAUCUUCUAUGUGCAACUGCUUGUGUGUGGCACCAGGAAAAUAAACACUAAUCAAGGUAAUUUUAAUUCCCAGUGAAAUGAAACAUCAUAUGGAAACAUGGGGAUUUUACUCUCCCUUGAUAAUUAUAUCAUCUAGAAUCAUCUCAUGUGAGAUUUUUAUCAUAAAGGAAGGGUCCAUGGAAAGGAAAUGCCUGACUGGAGCCCGCUGUGGAUUAUUCUUAAUUGCCUCUCCACUCUCACAUUCCCAAAAGGAAGGAGGAUAUCAGGGCUUAAUAUGACUCAAGUACAGCAUGAAAAAAUGGAAUAUGUUUGCAAAUGUCAACACAACUAUUUGUAAAAUAAUUAGAUAUUUAUUAAAUCAUUUUGUGAGAAAUGAAGUGGCUCUGAUCAGACUUAAAUAAAUGGGUUGACUAAUUUUUUUUUUGUUGUUAAUAUUUGAAUGUACCAUGCAACUAGGUUGAUGGAAGUUGUAUAUAAAAGUUAUCCAAAUCACUCAGUAGGAUCAUUUCAAAGAAUCUGAAAAAAGUUAGGAAAAUAAAUUUGAAAUACUGUGGCACUAUGAGUCAACCAGAAUUACAGAGCGUUCAGUAAAUUGGAGUAAAAAAAGAACUGAAGGUAUCAUUUUCAAGUCGAUUGUUGUUAGGUGCCAUCAAGUCUGUUCUGACUCAUAGCCAAACUAUGUAUCACAGAACAAAACACUGCCUGGUCCUGUGCCAUUCUUACAAUCGUUACUAUGCUUGAGCCCAUUGUCGCACCCACUGUGUCAGUCUCUCUCUUUGAGGGUCUUCCUUUUUUUCCACUGAUCCUGUACUGUACCAAGCAUGAUGUCCUUCUCCAGGAACUGAUCUUUCCUGACAACAUGUCCAAAGUAUGUAAGACACAGUCUCGCCAUCCUUGCUUCUAAGGAGCAUUCUGGUUGUACUUCUUCCAAGACAGAUUUGUUCCUUCUCUUGGCAGUGCAUUCAAUAUU
Molecule: long non-coding RNA, 3698 nt
Organism: Loxodonta africana (African savanna elephant)
Lineage: Eukaryota; Metazoa; Chordata; Mammalia; Proboscidea; Elephantidae
Exons: 2
Source: RefSeq, a predicted model, not a curated record